CAAAAGGCUCUUUUCAGAGCCACUGACUUUUAUCAUUGAGGGUUG
Molecule: non-coding RNA, 45 nt
Organism: Fukomys damarensis (Damara mole-rat)
Lineage: Eukaryota; Metazoa; Chordata; Mammalia; Rodentia; Bathyergidae
Source: Rfam